Molecule: non-coding RNA, 74 nt
Organism: Ameiurus melas (black bullhead)
Lineage: Eukaryota; Metazoa; Chordata; Actinopteri; Siluriformes; Ictaluridae
Source: the annotation of a GenBank genome assembly
GGAAGUGGUAGGUUAGUGGUUAAGAUGUUGGACUUCUGAUUGGAAGAUUGUGAGUUCAAAUCCCAGCACUGCCA